GAGUUUGAUCCUGGCUCAGAACGAACGCUGGCGGCAGGCCUAACACAUGCAAGUCGAGCGCUACCUUCUGGUGGAGUGGCAGACGGGUGAGUAACGGGUGGGAAUCUACCCAGUUCUAAGGAAUAACCACUGGAAACGGGGAGUAAUACCUUAUACGUCCUUCGGGGGAAAGAUUUAUGGGAAUUGGAUUAACCCGCGUUAUAUUAGAUAUGUGGGGGGGUAAUGGCCUUCCAAGUCUUCGAUCUAUAACUGGUUUGAGAGGAUGAUCAGCCUCACUGGGACUGAAACACGGUCCAGACUCCUACGGGAGGGAGCCGUGGGGAAUUUUUGACAAUGGGAGCAAGCCUGAUUCUAGCAUGCCGCGUGAAUGAUGAAAGCCCUAGGGUCGUAAAGGUCUUUCAACUGUGAAGAUAAUGACGGGUUCUCUACAAGAAACCCCGGCUUACUUCGUGCCAGCAGCCGCGGUAAUACUGAGGGGGUUAGCGUUAUUCGGAAUUACUGGGCGUAAAGCGUACGUAAGCGGAUUAAUAAAUUAGAUGUGAAAUCCCAGGACUCAACCCUGGAACUGCCUUUAAAACUGUUAGUCUUGAGAUCGAGAGAGGUGAGUGGCAUUCCUAGUGUAGAGGUGAAAUUCGUAGAUAUUUCGAAGAACACAGUGGCGUACGCUGCUCACUGGCUCAAUACUGACUCUGAGGUACGACAGUGUGGGUAGCAGACAGGAUCAGAUACGCUGGUAGUCCACGACGUAAACGAUGAGUGCCAGACGUCAGCAAGCAUGCUUGUUGGUGUCACACCUAACGGAUUAAGCAUUCCGCCUGGGGAGUACGGUAGCAAGAUUAAGACUCAACGGAAUUGAGGGGGAGCAGCACAAGAGGUGGAGCAUGUGGUAUAUUUCGACGCAACGUCGCAGAACCUUGCCAACCCUUGACAUACUUGUCGCGGAUUCCAGAGAUGGAUUCGUUCAGUUCGGAUGGACAAUGUACAGGUGCGUCAUGAGAGUCGUCAGCUAGUGUCGUGAGAAGUUCGGUCAAGUCCGGCAACGAGCGCAACCCACGUCCUUAGUUACCAGCGUUUAUUUGGGUGCCCUAACGAGACUACCGGUGAUAAACCGGAGGAAGGCGUGGACGACGUCAAGUCAUCAUGGCCCUUGCGGCAUGGGCGACACAAGUGCUUCAAUGGCAUGUACAGUGAGUUCAUCUCCAAAAGAUGUCUCAGUUUGGAUUGGGGUUUGCAACUCGACCCCAUGAAGUAGGGAUCGCUGGUGAUAUCGGAACAUGCACGUGGCGGUGAAUACGUUUCCGGGCGUGGUACACACCGCCCGUCACACCAUCGGAAAUGGGUCUACAAGAAGGUGGUGCGCCAACUAUUUAUAGGGGCACGCCAACCACGGUAGGUUCAGUGACUGGGGUGAAGUCGUAACAAGGUAACC
This 1429-nucleotide ribosomal RNA is filed under the name uncultured marine bacterium. RNAcentral's name for it is "16S ribosomal RNA". It matches the Rfam family "Bacterial small subunit ribosomal RNA". The record is from RNAcentral.